AUGAUAGGGUGGGGGGACGUGUACAAGGUGGUGUCGGCCAUGGCGCCGCUCUACUUCGCCCUCGGCCUCGGCUACGCCUCCGUGCAGUGGUGGAAGUUCUUCACUCGCGACCAGUGCGACGCCGUGAACCGCCUCGUCAUCUACUUCGCGCUCCCCUUCUUCGCCUUCGACUUCAACGCUCACGCCGGCACGUUCGCCGCAGGGUACCGCGUCCUGGCCGCCGACGCCGUCGCCAAGCUCGUCGUCGUGCUCGCACUCGCCGGGUGGAUCGCGUACUGCCGCUGGCGGCAUUGGAUCCGUGCCCCCAAGGCACCACCCGCUAGCUCGGCCUCGGCGUGGCCGGGCGGCCCCUCCUGGUCGUGGUGCAUCACCGGCUACUCGCUGGGCACGCUGAACAACGGGCUCUUCGUGGGCGUGCCGCUGCUGGACGCCAUGUACGGCAAGUGGGCGCGCGACAUCGUCGUGCAGCUGUCGGUGCUGCAGGCCGUCGUGUGGCUCCCGCUGCUGCUGGUGGUGUCGGCGGGAACCCGAACGUGUACGCGAGCCUCCUUGGGGUUCUGUGGUCUUCCGUAG
This 573-nucleotide ribosomal RNA is filed under the name Triticum aestivum (bread wheat). RNAcentral describes it as "partial small subunit ribosomal RNA". Lineage: Eukaryota; Viridiplantae; Streptophyta; Magnoliopsida; Poales; Poaceae. The record is from RNAcentral.